Canis lupus familiaris (dog) is the source of this 105-nucleotide non-coding RNA. Lineage: Eukaryota; Metazoa; Chordata; Mammalia; Carnivora; Canidae. The record is from Rfam.
GCUCACUUCGGCAGUGCCUAUACUAAACUUGGAACAAUACGGAGAAGAUUAGCAUAGCCCCUGCAAAAGGAUGACAGGUGAAUUUAUGAAGUGUCCCACAUUAAA